RNAcentral lists this ribosomal RNA (253 nucleotides) under uncultured bacterium. Its description in RNAcentral is "partial 16S ribosomal RNA". It matches the Rfam family "Bacterial small subunit ribosomal RNA", at positions 524 to 776 of the family's 1533-position model. The record is from RNAcentral.
UACGUAGGGCGCAAGCGUUGUCCGGAAUUAUUGGGCGUAAAGAGCUCGUAGGCGGUCUGUUACGUCCGCUGUGAAAACCCAAGGCUUAACCUUGGGCUUGCAGUGGAUACGGGCAGACUAGAGGCAGGUAGGGGAGAAUGGAAUUCCCGGUGUAGCGGUGAAAUGCGCAGAUAUCGGGAGGAACACCGGUGGCGAAGGCGGUUCUCUGGGCCUGACCUGACGCUGAGGAGCGAAAGCGUGGGGAGCGAACAGG